Non-coding RNA from Carassius gibelio (silver crucian carp), 666 nucleotides. The record is from the annotation of a RefSeq genome assembly. Lineage: Eukaryota; Metazoa; Chordata; Actinopteri; Cypriniformes; Cyprinidae.
UUGUAGUGAAACACACACAUGUACAAUGAUGCUUCAUUCAGUCAUUCUACUUUGGGCUUUGACAUGUGUGAGUUUUGGAGCUGAAAUCACACCAGACAGCACUGAGGAAUCUGCUGCAGUGGGUUCAACUGUUACUUUAUCCUGCAGUUAUUCCUCUGCAAACUCACUUCAAUGGUACCGUCAGUAUCCCGGAUCAGCUCCACAGUUUCUUGUGCUCAUAAUAGAUGGUAUAAAAGAGACUAAGACAUCUGAUGUAGAUCCCAGGUUUUCUACUAAGCUCAGAAAAGAAAAUCAAGCAACAAAAGAGAUCAGCCGUGUGGAUCUGAUCAUCUCCUCUGCUGCUGUAUCAGACUCUGCUCUGUACUACUGUGCUCUGAGGCCCACAGUCACAGGAAACACAAGAACACUCUACAAAAACCUAAUACACAGAUAAAGCUGUAUUUCUUUCCAUAAAUAUAUAUUAUAAAUUCACACUGUAUUAAUUUGAGAUAAAACUAUAAAUAUAUAAACUAUAUAGUUGAAGCAGUGGUACAAUGAAUUAUAAUAUUUUACAUAUUUUAACACUUAAUACUAUAAUGAAUGCUCUUUCUUUACACUUCCCUCUAGGAUGCAAGUCACUGACUAAAUGAUGAUUCAAAUACAGUUCAGCAUGAAUUUUGUAAUAAC